GCUGUGAUGGCCGAGUGGUUAAGGCGUUGGACUCGAAAUCCAAUGGGAUCUUCCCGCGUAGGUUCGAACCCUACUCGCAGCG
This is a non-coding RNA of Strongylocentrotus purpuratus (purple sea urchin), 82 nucleotides long. The record is from Rfam. NCBI's taxonomy places the organism in Eukaryota, Metazoa, Echinodermata, Echinoidea, Camarodonta, Strongylocentrotidae.